Molecule: ribosomal RNA, 253 nt
Filed under: uncultured bacterium
Lineage: Bacteria
Description: partial 16S ribosomal RNA
Rfam family: Bacterial small subunit ribosomal RNA
Source: RNAcentral
UACAGAGGUCUCAAGCGUUGUUCGGAUUCAUUGGGCGUAAAGGGUGCGUAGGCGGCGCGGUAAGUCUGCUGUGAAAGUCGGGGGCUCAACCCUCGAAAGCCGGUGGAUACUGUCGGACUAGAGUACGGAAGAGGCGAGUGGAAUUCCUGGUGUAGCGGUGAAAUGCGCAGAUAUCAGGAGGAACACCAAUGGCGAAGGCAGCUCGCUGGGACGUGACUGACGCUGAGACGCGAAAGCGUGGGGAGCAAACAGG